UACGAAGGGGGCUAGCGUUGCUCGGAUUGACUGGGCGUAAAGGGCGCGUAGGCGGUUUGCAUAGUCAGACGUGAAAUUCCUGGGCUUAACCUGGGGGCUGCGUUUGAUACAUGCGAGGCUUGAGUUCGGAAGAGGGUCGUGGAAUUCCCAGUGUAGAGGUGAAAUUCGUAGAUAUUGGGAAGAACACCGGUGGCGAAGGCGGCGACCUGGUCCGAUACUGACGCUGAGGCGCGAAAGCGUGGGGAGCAAACAGG
RNAcentral lists this ribosomal RNA (254 nucleotides) under uncultured bacterium. Its description in RNAcentral is "partial 16S ribosomal RNA". It matches the Rfam family "Bacterial small subunit ribosomal RNA", at positions 524 to 776 of the family's 1533-position model. The record is from RNAcentral.